RNAcentral lists this ribosomal RNA (278 nucleotides) under uncultured bacterium. RNAcentral describes it as "partial 16S ribosomal RNA". It matches the Rfam family "Bacterial small subunit ribosomal RNA", at positions 506 to 784 of the family's 1533-position model. The record is from RNAcentral.
UGCCAGCCGCCGCGGUAAUACGGAGGGUGCGACCGUUAAUCGGAAUUACUGGGCGUAAAGCGCACGCAGGCGGUUUGUUAAGCUAGAUGUGAAAGCCCCGGGCUCAACCUGGGAUGGUCAUUUAGAACUGGCAGACUAGAGUCUUGGAGAGGGGAGUGGAAUUCCAGGUGUAGCGGUGAAAUGCGUAGAUAUCUGGAGGAACAUCAGUGGCGAAGGCGACCACCUGGCCGUAACUGACGCUGAUGAGCGAAAGCAUGGGUAGCAAACAGGAUUAGAUA